Planococcus citri (citrus mealybug) is the source of this 867-nucleotide long non-coding RNA. RefSeq lists it as uncharacterized. Lineage: Eukaryota; Metazoa; Arthropoda; Insecta; Hemiptera; Pseudococcidae. The record is from RefSeq and is a predicted model, not a curated record. The transcript is spliced from 4 exons.
UUUUCUAGCGGUUAUAUUAUUUAGUGCGGUAAAUGAAAGAAGUCUCCUGGCCUAGUGUGUCGCUUAAGUUUUUGCCACGGAAACGUCGUGGUAAAAUUCUAAUCGACAUGCUGGGUCUGGAAGACUUGAUUUAUUUACCGUGACCGUGUGCAAGAAAUAUGUUGAUUUUUAUUAUCUCCGAUGCACCACAGAGCAAGAUAAAGAGAGCACUAGGUAUAAAGAAUCUGGUACUACAUUCGUCAGGUCGGUGACAAAAUCUGCGCCAAAAAGCUACAAGAAGUUAAGAUCGAAUGAAUAAAGAUAUCGAAAACAAGUACAGGGAACUAUAGCAGAAAAGAAAAUAUUCGUGGACAGAUACAAUCAACUAAAGAAGAUUCGGCCGAUGAAGAAAGAAAUAUAAAAGUUGCAGUUCAAAAUAUCACGAUGAACAUGAAGAAAAAUUCAGGGAAAUUCAUUAAAGUACAUUUGAAAACUUUGCACGAAAUUGUCCUCACGAAACGAAUUUGUUUCCUAAGGAAAAUUUCGUAUAACGUUUUCCAGUGUACUUUCAAAAAAAAUAUAAAUGGCUUCUUCUAUAUCCAGCUGGAGUUGAAUAGUAACAGAGCAACCUGGCCGAAUCAUCACAGCCAAAAUCCAAAAACGUCUAGAUCAAUUUGCAGUUGACGUGGAUGAGUCUGUUGAGAAAUGAAAGCUGCUUUCUCCACACACUCAUAAAUGCAAGUAUUUCAUCUAGAUGAGUAUAUCAAUGAAGAUGUUAAAAUUUCAUUGAAAAAGACAUUAUCAUUCGAGAGCAGAUUCCAUGAAGCAAUACUCAAAAUUUUAUUGUGAAAAAUGAAAAGUUCAAUUGAAUAAAUAUUUUUCUUAUUA